This 68-nucleotide transfer RNA is filed under the name Marshallena sp. MNHN IM 2013-9821. RNAcentral describes it as "tRNA-Trp". Lineage: Eukaryota; Metazoa; Mollusca; Gastropoda; Neogastropoda; Horaiclavidae. The record is from RNAcentral.
AAGGUUUUAAGUUAUAUGAAAACUAUGAGCCUUCAAAGCUUAAAAUAAAGAAGAGUCUUUAAACCUUG